AGUGUUUCCUUCUUGAAUCUACAAAGAAUUUUUUUUUAAAAAGAAGAAAAAAAAAAGGGUCCAGUCUACUACUAGCAAGUUGUAUGUAAUGAAGUGGCCAGUAAGUGCAGUAGUGAUGGCUGGUUUGUAAAAGCCAAACAUAAAACAGAUGAUUUCAUCUUUGUGCAGUCUGAAUAUUUUGGGUCUGCAGAUGAUAAAGAUGAUGGUGAUUAUCUAAGACUGCUUAGUUCAUAGUCAUGAGGGUGGAUUUAACACCAGCUGUCACAGGACAAAAUAACUCACCUUGAUUUCAACUCUAAAGGAAAGAAAAGUGAAUUACAGAGUGCUGAAAACUAAUCUGUGGUUGUAGUCUGUACAGGUGGAUGUCGCUGAAGAAGCAGAACAAAGUACUGUUCUACGAGUUUACUCAGAUGAAGUGACUCCAUAACACAUCCCGGGAAUUAUAGGCUACGGUAAGACAGGGAAAUACUAGAUGUUUUUCCUGAAAUCACCAUGAAAAUGCCAGUACUUAAAACAACUUACAGUAUAAUAAUUUCAUUGUUUCCUGUACAAACCUGACUUGUUACUUCCUUAUUCUAGUACAAGUUAUAUACUAUUGGACUAUUCUUGCAGAUGUAGCCGGAUCUUUUCACAUUUGCACACCUCAGUUCAGGUGUGUGCACAUAACAGUGUUACCUUCAGUUUAACAGUAAACAGGUGAGAAAGCUGCUUUCAUAUUACACUCUUAGAAUUCAUAUAAACCAUUCAAAUUCAACCCUUUACACCCGUGUGUCAUCAUCGAUCUCUGCUGCCUGCGUAAACAUAGUUUUACUGCCAUACUUUUAGUUAAUGCAUUUGUUUUGCACUACGCACAUUUUAUAUGUCAUUAUGUCAUUUAUUGUGGAAAUUCUCAUGUAGGAACUACUGUACUGCAUGUUGGUUCCACUGGUGCAACUGUGUGAGAUGCACACCCAUGUUGAAGUAUGAGGUCGUGUCCAAAUUCAUGGGCUGUGUCCCAAUCCAGCAACCGCACGCUUCGGAGUACGCGCAGUUGGCGUACUACGUACGGCGCGUAUUAGGAAGUACAAGAAGUGCGGAAGUGAGAGGCUUGUUAAAUGGGAAGGGCCUUUCUCAAUAUGCGUACUUGCGUUCUCAUGUACUCGUGAUACGUCAUCAGUCGGAGACCAAGUACUGUUCCAAUUCGAAGUAUGCAUCAAGCCGAGAACGCGAAAAAGUCCCGGAUGUGUUCUCGCUCCGCCCGUUUUAUCGAGCAUGCAUCAGUGGUGACUUGUGUGGACUUGAUACAGCUAAAUAUCCCAGAAUGCAUUUCGUCCAAAACUCAAACGCGGCAAUGGCGGACGAGCGGGGCUAAAAACUUUUAAAUAUUACUCUUUCUGGGUCACAAAAUAAACUUUUAAGUUAUUUUCAAGCUAGAAUGUAGCUGUGUAAACUUCAAAUAUCUGCUCAAUUUAUCAAGAUAUCAUAUAUUUCCAAACGCGCUCCGACAUUUUCGGAGACGUCUGUGACCUGCCAGCUCCAUAGCAGACAGCGAGGUCGAGGAUUAUUAGAGCCGGCGAGAACAGCGGACUCCCGGAACAUCGUUUUCAACGAUUUAAGUCAUACAGAAUAGAUAUCAGAGCCUUAAACAGGCUGACUUCUGCUAAAUGGGUCAAACUGGGCAGAAAGUAUACAAACACAUAACAUCCUUAUGGAAUAUGAUGUAACACUAUAGAUCAACUUACCUCAAAAUACAUAAAGCAUAUAAACAAUUACAGCAAUACGAUACAACAAACACAGCAGUGCUACUAAUCCAAAAUACUCAAAGCUUCAUAGAACUGAAACAAACAUUUAUUUUUAGCUCCGUUCUGCUGCUGAUACAUACUUUAGGUUUCUGAAUAUUAAACUUGUUGCUGCCUUUCAUAGUGUGUAACUUGAAGGGCCUGAGUACUGAAAACACUGGAAUGAUAAAAUUAUUUGAACAUUUCCUAAUAAGACUGAUUCAGGACAGACAAUUAGUGAUGUUAAACUUUUCUAGCAGUCCUUCACAAACAGGGAACAGUCUGUCUAUUCUCUCCAUCUGUCAGCUGCUGCUGGCUCUUCCUCCUCCUCUUCCUCACACACUGCUGAGUUUGUCCUGGUGGAUCAUCAGGGGUGCAAAGCCUCACAGAUGAUGUGCAGCAGUGGGUCCCUCAGUCUGUCCUCACUCUGGACACUUGCAGUUGUCACACAUGGAACUCAAAUGUGUGAUAAGCUGCAGGAUUCAAACACAAGUGUAACUUAUAAAUACAUGUUCAUACUUUUAUUCCACAAUCAGAGAGAAAGAAACAGAGAGAGUGCAGGACAGACAGACAGGUGACAGUCUCAGGUGUAUACACUGCUACAAAACAGCACAAGAGAAGGAGGAUUUAGUGUUUGUGUUAUUACGAGUGCUAAACAAGAAGAGUUCCCAGAUGGUACAGUGGACACAUGAGUGACUCCUGUGAUUAAAGCAUCUUUCUUUCAGCUUAACGAGUGAACCGUC
This is a long non-coding RNA of Oreochromis aureus, 2500 nucleotides long. The record is from Ensembl. NCBI's taxonomy places the organism in Eukaryota, Metazoa, Chordata, Actinopteri, Cichliformes, Cichlidae.